CCUACGGGAGGCUGCAGUGGGGAAUAUUGCACAAUGGGGGAAACCCUGAUGCAGCGACGCCGCGUGAGUGAAGAAGUAAUUCGUUAUGUAAAGCUCUAUCAGCAGGGAAGAAAAUGACGGUACCUGAGUAAUACUCCCCGGCUAACUACGUGCCAGCAGCCGCGGUACUACGGAGGGUGCGAGCGUUAAUCGGAAUUACUGGGCGUAACGCGCUCGUAGGCGGUAUGUCAAGUCAAGGGUGAAAUCCCCGCGCUCAACGUGGGAACUGCCUUUGAAACUGGCAAACUGGAGUGUGUGAGAGGAGAGUGGAAUUCCAGGUGUAGGAGUGAAAUCCGUAGAUAUCGGGAGGAACAUCAGUGGCGAAGGCGACUAGCUGGCACAUAACUGACGCUGAGGAGCGAAAGCGUGGGUAGCAAACAGGAUUAGAUACCCGGGUAGUC
This 440-nucleotide ribosomal RNA is filed under the name uncultured bacterium. RNAcentral's name for it is "partial 16S ribosomal RNA". It matches the Rfam family "Bacterial small subunit ribosomal RNA", at positions 338 to 795 of the family's 1533-position model. The record is from RNAcentral.